This 226-nucleotide unclassified non-coding RNA is filed under the name Hevea brasiliensis (rubber tree). The record is from RNAcentral. Lineage: Eukaryota; Viridiplantae; Streptophyta; Magnoliopsida; Malpighiales; Euphorbiaceae.
UUUGGUGGUCAACGUGUUCUGAUCCCUCUUCGUACCUUGUUUGCUAAUGUGGUAGAUCGCACUUCAGUGUGCCGCAAACAAGAUUUGUUUGACUUGGUAGGUCCUGAGACACUUCUUCCUGUAGAUUCCUUUCAACUACCUCCUCCCAAAAGUGAGAAACAACUUAAAGAAGAGUGGAAGAGGGCAGGUCCUCGUCCUCGGCCUCUUCCUCCACCUCCAGAGAGGC